UACGGAGGGUGCGAGCGUUGUUCGGAAUUAUUGGGCGUAAAGGGCGUGCAGGCGGUCUUUUAAGUCUGAUGUGAAAGCCCCGGGCCUAACCCGGGAAGUGCAUUGGAUACUGGGAGACUUGAAUACGGGAGAGGAGAGUGGAAUUCCUGGAGUAGGAGUGAAAUCCGCAGAUAUCAGGAGGAACACCGGUGGCGAAGGCGGCUCUCUGGACCGAUAUUGACGCUGAGACGCGAAAGCGUGGGGAGCAAACAGG
This 253-nucleotide ribosomal RNA is filed under the name uncultured bacterium. Its description in RNAcentral is "partial 16S ribosomal RNA". It matches the Rfam family "Bacterial small subunit ribosomal RNA", at positions 524 to 776 of the family's 1533-position model. The record is from RNAcentral.